UCGAAACCUGCUCUGCAGAACGACCCGUGAACAUGUUUGUAAAUCGAGGGGUUGACGCUGGAUUCGUCCAUUGUUGAUCCCUCAUUGGGGCCUGGACGAGGAAAAUGGGAUCAGGCUAUGCCUUUACCAUGCGAUCCUUGCUCUUGGACCUCCUAACCAAACCCCGGCGCCAAACGCGCCAAGGAAUUGCAAACGAAAAGAUCGCACGCCUGGGUGCCCUGGAAACGGUGAGCAUCUGGAAUGUGUAGCACUUUUGAGAACUAAAACGACUCUCGGCAACGGAUAUCUCGGCUCUCGCAUCGAUGAAGAACGCAGCGAAAUGCGAUACUUGGUGUGAAUUGCAGGAUCCCGCGAACCAUCGAGUCUUUGAACGCAAGUUGCGCCCGAAGCCUUUUGGCCGAGGGCACGUCUGCCUGGGUGUCACUCAAUCGUCGCCCCAACUACUUCCCUCAUGAGGGAUAUGGGUGGGGCGGAUGUUGGCUUCCCGUGUGCUUGAUAGCUUGCGGUUGGCCCAAAUUCCCGGUCCUCGGCGACAGUGCCACGACAAUCGGUGGUUGAAAGACCCUCGCUAAUUGUCGUGUGUGCUCAAGUGUCAUUUGGACCUAUGAGACCCCAAAGCGUACCCAAUGGUGCGUUCGCUAUGCGACCCCAGGU
RNAcentral lists this ribosomal RNA (654 nucleotides) under Euphorbia lucorum. RNAcentral's name for it is "eukaryotic LSU rRNA". The stretch from base 268 to 423 matches the Rfam family "5.8S ribosomal RNA". Lineage: Eukaryota; Viridiplantae; Streptophyta; Magnoliopsida; Malpighiales; Euphorbiaceae. The record is from RNAcentral.